This 253-nucleotide ribosomal RNA is filed under the name uncultured bacterium. RNAcentral describes it as "partial 16S ribosomal RNA". It matches the Rfam family "Bacterial small subunit ribosomal RNA", at positions 524 to 776 of the family's 1533-position model. The record is from RNAcentral.
UACGUAGGGUGCGAGCGUUGUCCGGAAUCACUGGGCGUAAAGGGCGCGUAGGUGGCGCGACAAGUCAGUGGUGAAAGCUCGACGCUCAACGUCGAGUCGGCCACUGAUACUGUUGGGCUUGAGCACUGUAGAGGCUAAUGGAAUUCCGGGUGUAGCGGUGGAAUGCGUAGAUAUCGGGAGGAACACCUGUGGCGAAAGCGGCUCACUGGACCACAACUGACGCUGAGGCGCGAAAGCUAGGGGAGCAAACAGG